RNAcentral lists this ribosomal RNA (671 nucleotides) under uncultured Pseudoalteromonas sp. Its description in RNAcentral is "bacterial SSU rRNA". It matches the Rfam family "Bacterial small subunit ribosomal RNA", at positions 1 to 662 of the family's 1533-position model. Lineage: Bacteria; Pseudomonadati; Pseudomonadota; Gammaproteobacteria; Alteromonadales; Pseudoalteromonadaceae. The record is from RNAcentral.
CCCUUAGAGUUUGAUCCUGGCUCAGAUUGAACGCUGGCGGCAGGCCUAACACAUGCAAGUCGAGCGGUAACAGAUUGAUAGCUUGCUAUCAAUGCUGACGAGCGGCGGACGGGUGAGUAAUGCCUGGGAAUAUGCCCUGAUGUGGGGGAUAACUAUUGGAAACGAUAGCUAAUACCGCAUAAUCUCUUCGGAGCAAAGAGGGGGACCUUCGGGCCUCUCGCGUCAGGAUUAGCCAGGUGGGAUUAGCUUGUUGGUGGGGUAAUGGCUCACCAAGGCAACGAUCCCUAGCUGGUCUGAGAGGAUGAUCAGCCACACUGGAACUGAGACACGGGGCAGACUCCUACGGGAGGCAGCAGUGGGGAAUAUUGCACAAUGGGGGAAACCCUGAUGCAGCCAUGCCGCGUGUAUGAAGAAGGCCUUCGGGUUGUAAAGUACUUUCAGUUGUGAGGAAGGCAGUAAAGUUAAUAGCUUUGCUGUUUGACGUUAGCAACAGAAGAAGCACCGGCUAACUCCGUGCCAGCAGCCGCGGUAAUACGGAGGGUGCGAGCGUUAAUCGGAAUUACUGGGCGUAAAGCGCAUGCAGGUGGUCUGUUAAGCAAGAUGUGAAAGCCCGGCGCUCAACCUCGGAACAGCAUUUUGAACUGGCAGACUAGAGUACUGUAGAGGGGGGG